This 84-nucleotide transfer RNA is filed under the name Candidatus Daviesbacteria bacterium. Its description in RNAcentral is "tRNA-Leu". It matches the Rfam family "tRNA". Rfam says of the family: Transfer RNA (tRNA) molecules are approximately 80 nucleotides in length. Their secondary structure includes four short double-helical elements and three loops (D, anti-codon, and T loops). Lineage: Bacteria; Candidatus Daviesiibacteriota. The record is from RNAcentral.
GCCGGGGUGGCGGAAUGGUAGACGCGAAGGUCUCAAAAACCUUUGAUCCAAAAGAUCAUGUGGGUUCGACUCCCUCUCCCGGCA